Molecule: microRNA precursor, 105 nt
Filed under: Solanum lycopersicum (tomato)
Lineage: Eukaryota; Viridiplantae; Streptophyta; Magnoliopsida; Solanales; Solanaceae
Description: miR10534 stem-loop (sly-MIR10534)
Source: miRBase by way of RNAcentral
GACUCCAAAAUACCCUUGUCAUCCAACAUUGGAUUCAAAAUUGACCACUUAUUUAACGGUCCAUUUUGAACAAAAAGGUGGAUGACAAGGGUAUUUUGGAGCCAA